CAAAAUGUAGCUUAACAUAAAGCAUUUAGCCUACACCUAAAAGAUUUCAGUUAGCCCUGACCAUUUUGA
Molecule: non-coding RNA, 69 nt
Organism: Vombatus ursinus (common wombat)
Lineage: Eukaryota; Metazoa; Chordata; Mammalia; Diprotodontia; Vombatidae
Source: Ensembl